This 722-nucleotide ribosomal RNA is filed under the name bacterium enrichment culture clone B4-21. Its description in RNAcentral is "bacterial SSU rRNA". It matches the Rfam family "Bacterial small subunit ribosomal RNA", at positions 28 to 774 of the family's 1533-position model. The record is from RNAcentral.
GACGAACGCUGGCGGCGUGCUUAACACAUGCAAGUUGAACGGUCUGACAUGGAAGCUUGCUGAAGUGUCGGGUAGUAGCGGACGGGUGAGUAAUGCAUGAGAAGCUGCCAUUGGGAGGGGGACAACAGUUGGAAACGGCUGCUAAUACCCCAUAUGCCGAAAGGUGAAAGGGAGCGAUCCGCCCGAUGAGGUGCUCAUGUCCUAUCAGCUGGUUGGUGAGGUAACGGCUCACCAAGGCGACGACGGGUAGCCGGCCUGAGAGGGUGACCGGCCACACUGGAACUGAGAUACGGUCCAGACUCCUACGGGAGGCAGCAGUGGGGAAUAUUGGGCAAUGGGGGGAACCCUGACCCAGCGACGCCGCGUGAGGGAAGACGGCCUUCGGGUUGUAAACCUCUUUUGUACGGGAAGAAGGACGUGACGGUACCGUACGAAUAAGUCCCGGCUAACUACGUGCCAGCAGCCGCGGUAAUACGUAGGGGACGAGCGUUGUCCGGAAUUACUGGGCGUAAAGGGCGCGCAGGCGGUAUAUCAAGUCAGCUGUCAAAGACUGGGGCUCAACCCUGGUAUGCGGUUGAAACUGAUAUGCUGGAGUGCUGUAGAGGCAAGUGGAAUUCCCAGUGUAGCGGUGAAAUGCGUAGAUAUUGGGAAGAACACCGGUGGCGAAGGCGACUUGCUGGGCAGCAACUGACGCUGAGGCGCGAAAGCUGGGGUAGCAAACC